AGCGAACGUUUGCGGCGGGCCUAACACAUGCAAGUCGAACGGGCAGGGGCAACCCUGUCAGUGGCGCACGGGUGCGUAACACGUGGGUAAUCAACCCUUUGGACUGGGACAACCCGGGGAAACUCGAGCUAAUACCGGAUGUGGCGUGGCGGUCCUCGGACUGCUCCGCGAAAGCUCCGCAAGGGGCACCAGAGGACGAGCCCGCGUCCCAUCAGCUAGUUGGUGAGGUAAUGGCUCACCAAGGCGAAGACGGGUAGCUGGUCUGAGAGGAUGAUCAGCCACACUGGAACUGAGACACGGUCCAGACUCCUACGGGAGGCAGCAGUGGGGAAUAUUGCGCAAUGGGCGAAAGCCUGACGCAGCCACGCCGCGUGUGCGAUGAAGGUCUUCGGAUCGUAAAGCACUGUGGGGGGAGAAGAAACAAGCCGGUGAAGAGCCGGCCCUGACGGUAUCCCCUUAGCAAGCACCGGCUAACUCCGUGCCAGCAGCCGCGGUAAAGUG
RNAcentral lists this ribosomal RNA (501 nucleotides) under uncultured bacterium. RNAcentral describes it as "bacterial SSU rRNA". It matches the Rfam family "Bacterial small subunit ribosomal RNA", at positions 29 to 527 of the family's 1533-position model. The record is from RNAcentral.